UUUUUUUUUUUUUUCUUAAAUGGAUGAACGAAAGAAAGAAAGAGGGAAAGGGGGAAAAAAAGAAAGGAGUACUUCAAAUUUUUGAGCUGACCUGAAGCACCAAGGGAUCUGGCAUCUGAAGCAAUGGAGUAAUGAGAAGCCAUGUGUCCAGGUCUAUGCGCGAUGAGCAGAAACACAGACUCUUCUGGCCACCCUGGUUUUUGAACAUGGGGGUUUGGUGCUCUAAAUAGAGUCUGAAGUGAGGCAUGGAUACAAACAUCUCUUCAUACUAGCAGCCGAAGCCUACAUCAACCUGGAAAAGCAUGUAUGUAAGUGUGAAUCAAGACAGAAGAAAGGGCAGGUAGAGGCUCCCAGUAAGCAGGAGGAGUGAUGUGCCUGACAGAGCUGAAGCCAGCUGGACUUCAAAUGUGCCAAAAAGCCUUCCUGAACUGCAACCUUACAGCUGCUGUACCAAAACAGUCUCAGAAGAGGAUCUCACCAUCCAAUGCUUUAGACUACUCUCUCUGCACCAAAACAACCUGAGUUUGAGAUGAGUCCAGGCUAAAAACACAUGUAUACUUGAGGUUACUGUUAUGGACCCCUUGUUUCUGUAUCUUGUGUAAUUUCGCAUUUUUUUAACAAGUAGGAGCACUACCCCACGUGUGUGAUGUGAAGGUGUGUGUCAAUUAAAGGUGUGAAAAUAUUUACAGCAAAAGGCUCUGUCUAGAGUAAUAACAGAGAAGCCAAGAGGCUUGUGGUUCAGUAACAAGUUCAUUCAGAAAUUCACAAGGCAGUGUGACAGCUGGAGUGAGGAAAGACUUGUGGCAAUAUUUCUUUAAGAAUUGCAUGAUGAAAAAAUAAUAAUAAACGUUAACAAUGUUUUUUGUUAUUUCCUCCCCUUUUUUUUUUCUUCUUUCCCAUGAUAUAAACAAUGGUACUCUGGUCAUAAGCCAAAACCUGACAAAGAUCCAAGGUUGAAAGGGUUUUCUUUGAGCCUGUCUUCCUGGUAUAAUUAUUGUAGAUUCAGAGGAACCAGAUCUGGAGUGUUGUAAAACUCAACACAAUGAACUUGACAGACAGCCAGAUUUCUGUUUUCAGCCAGUUUAGGGUUACUAUAAUCUCAUUAUUAUGCUUGAAAGACGACAAGUAAUAGAAUCUCAGGUAGCCGUUCUGUCGUUACUCAGCCGCAUCUUCUCUUUUAUGCCGAUUUCCCUUGAUUACCUGAACUAGUGAGGCUCGGUUUUCAACCACUUAUCUUCCAGAAAUAAUCAUCUGAUCAGCCUUACAAGGUUCUCACUGCACUCAACGGUUUUAAUGGGUCAAGCGUUAAAUUAACCCUUUAACCAUAUCCCAGGAGAAUACAAAACUUAUUAAAAAACAAUUUACUAUUCAGUCAUUGUUAACUUUGCAAAGGAGAAGGAGUUCCUUAGCCAGCUUUGCUUGUUCCCUCCACUCAUGUCCUGUUUUACUGAAUCUUUGCUCUUACUAACACAUAAAAUCUUUUUAAAGCUUCUGCCUAAGGAAACAUUCUUUUGGUUUCUUACUUUUACAGAAGCAUAAAAUGAAACCACAGCAAAAGCUGAGUAUCUUACAUUCUAUUUUAACAAUUUUUUACAAAGGUUAAUUAAUUUUUCCAUGUAUGGAAAACCACAUCUGCAAAAAUGUAACUCAUGUCAGUCGGUGUUGUAUCACAUGCAGAAUUAUAAGGCUUGUGAAACUCUUAUGGACUUGCCUAUAUGAUGGAAAGGGUUUGCAACACUGUCUGCUAUGGGAGAAUGUUUGCGCAAGCCUCAGCUACAGCAGGGAAGCAGCCGAGCAAGAGGUCACUUACCCCUGUGGAUCUGCGUUGGUGUGCAGAGCAGUCAGCAGCUGCGCUGCCGCUUCCAGCCUCCCCAGAAAACUCUGGAGUCCCCUCUGGGAGGAGGCUGGAGGCAGGAGCCCAAGCAAUGCUCCCUGGCUUCAUGCUUUCAUAGGACAGUUCACAGCCAGCAGAAAUGUGCCUUCUGCCCUGACUCAUCCCAAAGUUGCUGAAACCAAGGGAGGUGUGAGAAGAUGUGUCUCUGGAGGAGCAGCCUUGGCAAAGCUGCUUCUAGGAGUAGGAGCAGCUGCACCGUCUGGGAAAGCAGCUGCACCAUCAGGAGGGGCUUGAACAAGAGGCAGAUGGCAUCACUGACUGCAGUACCAGACCUUAGUUGUUCUUGUGAAGCUAAGGCCUCCUUCACACAAGAACUCCUUUGGCGGAGCAGCCUAUCCAUGCCACAAAGGGACAAACUCUCCCUUUCAGCCAUACUCCAACAGCAAAAAAGAGACAAGAAAAGAAGUAUUUCAUGUAAACCAAGGCCAAAAAGAGCCUCA
Molecule: long non-coding RNA, 2334 nt
Filed under: Strigops habroptila (Kakapo)
Lineage: Eukaryota; Metazoa; Chordata; Aves; Psittaciformes; Psittacidae
Description: lncRNA (ENSSHBG00005007815.1)
Source: RNAcentral